RNAcentral lists this ribosomal RNA (223 nucleotides) under uncultured bacterium. RNAcentral describes it as "partial 16S ribosomal RNA". It matches the Rfam family "Bacterial small subunit ribosomal RNA", at positions 32 to 247 of the family's 1533-position model. The record is from RNAcentral.
AAUCAACGCUGGCGGCGUGCCUAACACAUGCAAGUCGAACGCGAAAGGGGCCUCGGCCCUGAGUAGAGUGGCGUCCGGGUGAGUAACGCGUGGGUAAUCUACCCUCGGGUGGGGAAGUAACCAGUCGAAGAUUGGCUAAUACCGCAUAAUAGCAGCGGCUCGACAUCGAGACAGUUGUUAAAGCAGCAAUGCGCCUGAGGAGGAGCCUGCGUCUGAUUAGCNG